This 738-nucleotide ribosomal RNA is filed under the name uncultured bacterium. RNAcentral describes it as "bacterial SSU rRNA". It matches the Rfam family "Bacterial small subunit ribosomal RNA", at positions 28 to 776 of the family's 1533-position model. The record is from RNAcentral.
AGUGAACGCUGGCGGCGUGCUUAACACAUGCAAGUCGAACGAGAACGGACUAAAGCUUGCUUUAGUUGUCAGCUAAGUGGCGCACGGGUGAGUAAUGUAUAGGUAAUAUGCCUCUUAGUAAGGGAUAACAAGCGGAAACGCUUGCUAAUACCUUAUAUGCCUUUUAAACACAAGUUUGUAAAGGGAAAGAUUUAUCGCUAAGAGAUUGGCCUGUAUGGUAUCAGCUUGUUGGUGGGGUAAAGGCCUACCAAGGCUAUGACGCCUAACUGGUUUGAGAGGAUGAUCAGUCACACUGGAACUGAGACACGGUCCAGACUCCUACGGGAGGCAGCAGUGGGGAAUAUUGCACAAUGGGCGAAAGCCUGAUGCAGCAACGCCGCGUGGAGGAUGACACUUUUCGGAGCGUAAACUCCUUUUAUAUAGGAAGAUAAUGACGGUACUAUAUGAAUAAGCACCGGCUAACUCCGUGCCAGCAGCCGCGGUAAUACGGAGGGUGCAAGCGUUACUCGGAAUCACUGGGCGUAAAGAGCGUGUAGGCGGAUAAGUAAGUUUGAAGUGAAAUCCUAUGGCUCAACCAUAGAACUGCUUUGAAAACUGCUUAUCUAGAGUAUGGGAGAGGCAGAUGGAAUUUCUGGUGUAGGGGUAAAAUCCGUAGAUAUCAGAAGGAAUACCGAUUGCGAAGGCGAUCUGCUGGAACAUUACUGACGCUAAGACGCGAAAGCGUGGGGAGCAAACAGG